UGAGGAAUAUUGCACAAUGGAGGAAACUCUGAUGCAGCCAUGCCGCGUGAGUGAUGAAGGCCCUAGGGUUGUAAAACUCUUUCGCGAGGGAAGAUAAUGACGGUACCUCGAUAAGAAGCCCCGGCUAACUUCGUGCCAGCAGCCGCGGUAAUACGAAGGGGGCAAGCGUUGUUCGGAAUUACUGGGCGUAAAGCGCGCGUAGGUGGAUUGGAAAGUUAGAUGUGAAAGCCCAGGGCUCAACCUUGGAACUGCAUUUAAAACUAUCAAUCUAGAGUCAGCUAGGGGACAGUGGAAUUCCAUGUGUAGCGGUGAAAUGCGUAGAUAUAUGGAGGAACACCAGAGGCGAAGGCGACUGUCUGGGGCUGUACUGACACUGAGGUGCGAAAGCGUGGGGAGCAAACAGGAUUAGAUACCCGCGUAGUCC
This 424-nucleotide ribosomal RNA is filed under the name uncultured prokaryote. Its description in RNAcentral is "bacterial SSU rRNA". It matches the Rfam family "Bacterial small subunit ribosomal RNA", at positions 355 to 796 of the family's 1533-position model. The record is from RNAcentral.